UCAUUCAUCUGCUAAAAGAAUUCCACGUUAGCAUUUUUCCAAACCGUACAAAGUUUCAAGAUAAAGUGAAAUUUGGGGGCAGAGCUUUUUAAGCCACACCCAGCCUUCCUACAAUAGGAGGAAGUGAAGAGUUGUUGACAACUUUAGGCAUAAAUUCCACCGCUGCUGUCCCCUUUAAUGUAGAAAUUAACAACUCAGGCUCUCUGCGCAGCCGCACCUCCUCCUCUCUGCCUCAGUGGGAACCAGCAAAUCAGCAAACCCUUGCUGGGGGUGCACUGGAGAGAGAGUCUGAUAUGCUUUAAGAGGUGGCAAGGAAAAACAGCUCCCCAUGGAUGUUCCCCAUAUGGAAAAAGGCCAGGACUGGAAACAUUAGGAAGAAGGGUUAUCCAAGCCUUAGGUGACAUAAAGGGAACUGGCAGCACAUCCAAGAGGAGAGGACAGGGCACAGAAGACAAAAGGAGACGGCUGACUUUCGGCACACCUACUCUCCAAUUCUGUCACCAGUCCCUGCCCAAAUUUCCUUUUCCUCAACGACUUGGAGGAGUUAUUUCAACAAGUCCUUGUGAAGAAUAACUAUCAUCAAGAAACACAAAAAGGAAACUACUGGGCUUCCCUGAUUUCCAACCCAAUAACCUAAGGAGAACAGCACAAACUGAAAUGCCCACAGCAACUGAGGCAGGCCCCACAAAUGGGAUUAAGGGGCCAGAGAAGCCUGUGCCCAUGGGAGGGGAGAGCCUGGACCCCAGCCCAGGAGACUGUGCCAGGUGGGAGUGUGGCCCCCAGAAUGGCCAAGCCAUCUGAUUUCUCAAGAGAAGUCAUAAAUACAGAUUUUCAGAUUAAUCACCCGAUUUUUAACCGUUAGCAACUCAUAUAAGAUUUUAGGUAACCAUGUGCAAUGAAACAGGAAGUGAUGGCCAACAUGAGGAACUAGUUUGUACACUGUGGUAUUUGCAGGACACAA
Non-coding RNA from Equus caballus (horse), 961 nucleotides. NCBI's taxonomy places the organism in Eukaryota, Metazoa, Chordata, Mammalia, Perissodactyla, Equidae. The record is from RefSeq and is a predicted model, not a curated record.